RNAcentral lists this ribosomal RNA (642 nucleotides) under Malassezia furfur. RNAcentral describes it as "eukaryotic LSU rRNA". It matches the Rfam family "Eukaryotic large subunit ribosomal RNA", at positions 38 to 667 of the family's 3401-position model. Lineage: Eukaryota; Fungi; Basidiomycota; Malasseziomycetes; Malasseziales; Malasseziaceae. The record is from RNAcentral.
GCAUAUCAAUAAGCGGAGGAAAAGAAACUAACAAGGAUUCCCUUAGUAACGGCGAGUGAAGAGGGAAGAGCUCAAAUUUGAAAGCUGGUACCUCCGGUAUCCGCGUUGUAACCUCGAGACGCGUUUUCCGUGCGGCGCUAUGGACAAGUUCCUUGGAACAGGACAUCGUAGAGGGUGAAAAUCCCGUACUUGCCAUGGAUGUACCGUGCUUUGCGAUACGUGCUCUAAGAGUCGAGUUGUUUGGGAUUGCAGCUCAAAAUGGGUGGUAGACUCCAUCUAAAGCUAAAUAUCGGGGAGAGACCGAUAGCGAACAAGUACCGUGAGGGAAAGAUGAAAAGCACUUUGGAAAGAGAGUUAAAAGUACGUGAAAUUGUCGAAAGGGAAGCGCUUGAAGUCAGCCAUGCCGCUCAGGACUCAGCCUGGCUUUUGCUUGGUGUAUUUCCUGGGUAGCAAGUCAGCAUUGGUUUGGAUCGUCGGAGAAGCAUAGUCGGAAUGUGGCGCCCUCGGGCGUGUUAUAGCCUUCUAUUGGAUACGACGAUCUAGACCAAGGAACGCAGCGCGCCUUAUGGCGGGUCUUCGGACACCUUCGCGCUUAGGAUGCUGGCGUAAUGGCUUUAAGUGGCCCGUCUUGAAACACGGACC